This is a non-coding RNA of Macaca mulatta (Rhesus monkey), 864 nucleotides long. Lineage: Eukaryota; Metazoa; Chordata; Mammalia; Primates; Cercopithecidae. The record is from RefSeq and is a predicted model, not a curated record.
UUUAAAAUGGAGGGAAGAAAACAUGUCUAGUGUUUUCUUUAUUGCUUUAAAAUGCUUCUAUUCAAAUAGUAAAAAACUUAAACUGAAUCUCAGAAAGUACCAAAUCCAAACUUUUCAUUAUAUAGUUGAGAAAAUGAGCUCAAAGAGGAAGGACAAAUGCUUAUACUAGUAUGACCAACUGGUUGGUUGUUUAUAUAAUUUCUUUCUUCUUCCACCUUGAUAGUUAGGUAUGACCUCGUGAUGAAGUUCUACUCAAUAAAAGGUGGGCAAAUGUGAUGCACUCCACCUCCAGAUGGGGCUCAUCAGAAACUCUCUGUUUGAUCCUCCAGGCUUUUUACCUGUCUGUUGAACUGAGUGAAGGACCCAGAGGCCCUAUGAUGUGGUGUAGCUUCAAGAGAAGGAAGCCUAGAUCCCUGAAUCAUUGUGGAGAGCAUACUUAUCCUACACUCAUAUAGGACUGCAGUACUGAACAUCUGGAGGCCUGAUUUAUUGGAGAUUACAAAUGUACAGUAUAACAUAGGUGUGGAGAGCGAGAAGAUCAGGAUUGUCAAUACUGUCAUUGCUUUUACUGGAAUCCUCAGGAUGAAUUGAAGGUUUGACCAGAGACAAAGAAGCAAACGCUAUAAAUUAACAUUCACAUAUGGUAGGUAAGCCUGUAAGUUGCUUUGGACUUUGCUUGCCUCAGAUAUCUUAGAUCCAAAGUGGGGAGAAAGUGGAUAAAGGUCAGUGUCAAUUGUUGAAAAGGGAAUCACAGGGAGGUCAAAAGCACAGUAAAACUGGAGUCAGAAAGUCAGAAUGCCUGUGUUCAAGGUCAGGGUCUUAAAAUUUUUUAGUGCGCCAUCUCUGGUGAGUUACUUAAUUUCU